AAAUGUGCUCUCCACAGCAUUGUUGUGAAAGUCGCGAAUGCGUCACAGCAUUGCGUCAGGUUAAGAUUGAUGGAUUUGCAAACUGUAGUCACGGCGGUGAAAUUCUGCACGAGGAAGUCGAUGGGGCAAACUAUACGAUACCAAUGGGGAGAUGAAAUGGUACAUACUGAUUGAUCUUGAAGGUGCACGGAAGAAUAUUGUAUACACUUACAUUACAAUCAGGGAACGGGUUCACAAGGGUAUCAUCUACUGAACAGUUGUCGUUAGUUAAAGUUCGAUGAAUGGGAGAAGAGAGUAACGUCCAACACUCCGUUCUACUCUCAUUACCAUUCUACCAGUCACCUACAGUUUUCCUGCGAUGGUUUUGCUUCAGAGAAUUAAAGAGUUGAGCCCGUGUCACAGGAGCAUAUGGAGGGUUUACUAGGUGGAAAAAUGACGAGGUUUGCUGAGGAUAGUGUUCCAACUGUGGAAGGUCGCACUACUGAUUCAAAGUUCUAUGUUGUGCAAAGUGGUGUCUUCCGGGGGAUCUUCACUUCUUGGGAUGCUUGUGAACCAGUAGUGAAGGGAUAUAGUGGUGCUAGUUUUAUCAGGAGGGACCUUGGUCAAGUAGUGUAAUACACCUUCAGGAGUAAUAUCAAGAGGGAUCUUGGUCAAGUAGUGUAAUACACCUUCAGGAGUAAUAUCAGGAGGGACCUUGGUCAAGUAGUGUAAUACACCUUCAGGAGUAAUAUCAGGAGGGACCUUGGUCAAGUAGUGUAAUACACCUUCAGGAGUAAUAUCAGGAGGGAUCUUGGUCAAGUAGUGUAAUACACCUUCAGGAGUAAUAUCAGGAGGGACCUUGGUCAAGUAGUGUAAUACACCUUCAGGAGUAAUAUCAGGAGGGACCUUGGUCAAGUAGUGUAAUUUGCCGUAUCCUUCUGAAGGCGGGUUGCUGUAUCCUUCUGAAGGGGGGUGGCUGUAUCCUUCUGAAGGCGGGUAAGUUUGGGGGUCGGAACAUGGGCCGUUAUAUGAGGAAGAGAGUAGUCAUCGAUGAUAGACUGUGCAUACUCGGCUUGAUGGAGAAAGAUCUCGGUGGUGGUCUGAAGGAAUUGCACUGCCAAAAAUUUGUGCAUUAGGCCUAAGUCGACCAUUUCGAAUUAAGAAUGAAGCAAUUUCUUGAGUGAAGAAAUAAUUGCAAGAUUCGAACCUGUGAUAAGGAGGUUGUCAACGUAGAUGAUGAGGAGGACAGCGGAGGUGUUCGUGCGGGUGUAAUACACGUUCGGGUCGGCCGUGGUUCUAGACAUGCCAUGCGUUCGGAGGUAGGAGUCUAUGCGGCUGUACCACGCUCUAGGGGGACUGUUUUUGCCCGUAGAGUGAGCGGUUCAGCUUGCAUACGAGGUGGUUAGUGGCAGGAGUUGCGCGUCCAGGAGGCUGGGUCAUGAAGACAUCGACGUGUAGGGUGUCGUUUAAGAAUGCGAUAGCCACGUCCACAUGAAACUUGGCCAAGCAUUUCGUGCGGCUGACCUAGUUACAAGACGAAUGAAUGCCCGGAGGUAGAGGAAUGAGAUCCCAUGUGUGAUUUUUUUGGAUAGAGUGUAGUUCGAAUUGCAUGGUCGAGAUCCAUCGUGGAUCGGUCCGAGCUUGAGCGUAAGUAAGUUGUUCGCCAGCUUCUUCUAUUACACCAAUAAAUGAGUCAACUAGAUCGAUGCAAAUGUAGCUAUCGUGGGAGUGUGGAAGGACGCGGAUCCGGCUUGAACUGUGUACAAAGGAUGGAGCGGUAGGGGUAGUUACCGAAACCGAUGGCUUUGGAGGUGAAGAAAGCUCGGGUAGAUAUGAUGGCGGUAGUGGUGACUGGGUACGAUCUCGAAGAGCGGAAAUAGAGGGCGACAGUAGACUUGGCGUUGAUGACGAGGGCAGUGUGGGCUGGUGAGUCGGAUGAAGUUGAGGUCCGCUGGUCUGGACUGUAAUAUCAUUAUUAUCUACAGAAGUAGUUUGCGAGACGAGAUCGGGGAUGUGCAGUCUGUGGUUUUCUAAAAACUGGACGUCCUUCGACAUGAGAACCGUGUUUGUAGCCGGGUCGUAGCACUGGUAACCUUUGACAUGUGCAUCAAAGCUUAAGUGGAGGCAAGGCCAAGAGCGGUCACCGAGUUUACUGCUGCCUGGCACCGUAUUGUGCACAUAGGCGGUUGACCUGAAGAUUCGAAGUUUGUAAAUGUCAGGUAUCUUGUUCGGUCAUGACUUUGUUGAGAAAAUGUUGAGCAGAAGGCAGGCCGCCUUUGCUGCUUCUGCCCAAAGUGUGGAAGGCAUGUCAACAUGAUGUAGUAUACAUCGGACGAUAUCAAGGAUGCUGUGGUUGCGCCUUUUCGCCACUCCAUUAUGAUAGGAGGUGUGUGGUUGGGUCAACAGCCGCCGGAUUCCAUGACUCAGGCAAUAGAUGGUGAAACGGUGGAAAUUGAAUUUCCUACCAUUGUCGGAUCUGAGCGAUUUCAGGCGGUUUUGGGCAUUGUUUUCAACCAAUCUGUGAAAGAAUCUGAACUUUUCAAAGCACAUGUCUUUGGAUAGGAGGAAGUAGAUCCAAGUUUUUUGCAAAUAAUCAUCAAUAAAAGUAAGGAAAUAUUGGGCCCCACCGAGAGAUCUGAUUCUAAACGGGCCUGUGACGUCAGUGUGGACGAGUUGAAGAGGCCUGGUAGAUGCGGUUGUGCAGAUUUUUGGAAUCUUUUUUUUGGUCUGCUUUCCUGUGAGACAGCUAAUGCAAGGGAAGUUCGGCACAUGGAAGCUUGGUAAUCCUUUUAUUGCUUUGGAUUCAAUCAUUCUGCGCAUCCCUUGGUAAUUGCAGUGACCUGGCCGCUUAUGCCAGAGUGUGGCUAGAGGUGACGUAUCAGCCAAGCAGCUAAGUGCUUCAUCAUGAGAUGGUUUCUCCGAUGAGCCUAUAUAAAUCGUUCCGCUUCUCUCGUGUUGCUGUAGCAACGGUGUUCCCUAAGGAGUCCUUGAUGCAACAUUGGAGGUUGCGAAACUCAAAUAAAAAAUCCCUAUCUGUGAGAUAGCCAACGGACAACAAAUUUUUUUUGUAUGCGAGGGAAGUAGAAAACAUGACAAAUCUAGUGAAUUUCUUCGGUAGGGAGUUUAAUUGAACAUUGCCAUGCCCAACACAUUGUGCCCUUGUUCUCCAGCGGAGGUGACUCUGGUACCCUUACUUGGUUUUAAUGAUGAAAAAAUUGACUUGUCCCCUAA
Molecule: non-coding RNA, 3210 nt
Organism: Physcomitrium patens
Lineage: Eukaryota; Viridiplantae; Streptophyta; Bryopsida; Funariales; Funariaceae
Source: RefSeq, a predicted model, not a curated record